GUAUAGUUGGCACGUUUGGGUCUUCCACUGUUCUGACAGUGCCGCGUUACCACUUUUAAACUUAAACACUCGCAAGCUUAGCAGCCUUUUAUUUACUUACAGUAUCGAUCCAACAUCGAACCACCCCCAGACCAGACCAUGUUCUUUCUCACUCUCUCCCUUUCGCUUGCUCACUGGGCUUCUGUGCAGUCAGAAGUGAUUUGUUGGACAUCUGCUGUUGCAGCAUAGCAUGUGGGCGUAUACAUACACACAUACACACAGUUAGAGGGAACCGUUAGCACUUACAGAAUUUCUCCAGAGGAGAGUAAAAAUAUUCGUGCUUAGCAACUGUUCUGUGAUGUCAUUUAUGUGAUUUUGGUACUGUCGUCACACCUUGGCAGUCCCACAUGGAGCUCUGCAGAGUCAUGCAGAAUUGGAAUGCCUGUCAUUCUCAAGUUGUAAAACAGCCCCAACUACCAGAAACAAAUUUCUUUUGUGUUUAUCUGAUAUUGCACUUUUGUGCUUAAAUCGAUUGCAGUUAUUCCCCUUCCCAAAAAAUGCUGCAUCUACAAAUUCUUAUCUGGACUUGCUCAUAAAAAUGUUCAGUGUUUAAAAUCAUUUUGUUUUAUGUCUGUUAAUAUUUUGUAUUUGUACUGUGUUUUGUAUAGUUUGAAAACUUUGGUUGAUUGGGAGACUGAAAUAUGGCUUCCUUCACCAAUCCAUCUCAUGGAAACAAAACAUCUGUGGCAAUUCACAUACUUUAAUGUUGCAUCAAUUUUUUUUACACACAAUUCUCUUACUGUAGUGCAAGAUGCAACCCUUCAUAUUUUUUUUUCACUUUAAAGCAAAAUAGCCUUCAAAACUCCUCACCAAUUUCACUUACCAGUGAAAUUUGUUUUAUCAGUUGGGUUGCAUUGUAAACAAGAUGAUGAUGAUAACUGAUAAUGAAAGUUUUAUUUAAAUGAAUGCUUUGACAUACAGUAAUAUCACCUUAUAAUGAUAAAGUAUACUUUGAGCACAUCUUGUCUGUUACCAGUGUUUAUAUUACUUAACAGUGUUUAUAUUAGGGCUGUGUGCAAUUAAUUGAAUGCGAUUGCCAUGCACAUCUGGUCAGUAAAGCCGGUUCUGUGAUUAGUAGUAAAUCUCCAUCUUUCAGAUGGAGCGGCAUUUAAUACAUACAGCCGUAAUUCAUUGACAGUUAGUUAAUAUCACAUUCAUUAUCACAGAUUGAAUUGCCUGCAGUAAUGAACGAAAUAUUGUGUAGCUUGUCAUUGAUCUGAGUUGGUAUGAUUUGUGCUUGUGACGGAGCGGUAGUGGAGCAUUCUGGGAGCGAUUGAAAACCUCAGUGCUCCAACUUUCAAAAAAUCAGCUCCUAGCUCCAGGCAAAAUCACACCACUCCGCUCACAUACUCUGAUAGAAAGCAAUAAACAUAUGGAGCAAAAAAAUAAAUAAUAAUUAUUCAUGCAUUUUCACUUUUUUUACAAUUUGUAGAUACAUUUUGCUCUUGGUGUUGAAUGAACCUUCACUAUGGACCCAAUUACUAGUCCGUUAUCAAGAGUUACUUCAAAACAAUUUAUUCUGUGCGUUACCUUUGACCAAGGAAAUAAUUUAAAUUAAUUUUAUCAUUAAUGUACUUAGAAUUUGCAGUCUAUUCUAGUUUUUAUUUUUCACUAGUUUUUUUUUUUUUUUUUCUCCUAGUUCUAGUUUUUUUCUAGUUUCACAUGAAUUUUUGUGAGCAGAGCAGAUAACAUUUGUAACUUUUGCAGAUUUGCUGAAAUGUAGCUAGCACGAGCCAGGCCCUGUCAUACAGUAAUCACAGGGUGUCAAAAACUUGAUUACCAUUUGCUAUAAAAUGAUGCUGCUUCCACUAUAGUAAUUUGUUUUGUUUUUUUUCGUAAACACACCUUUGUGUUUUUUUUUUUUUUUUUUCAAACAUGAUUCCUUGCCAGCCCGUCUCAAACAAUUCUUGUAAGUCAAAGCAAUGACUGUGUAAUUUUAAGUUGUAAGUUAUAAAUUGAUAAUAUUCUCUGUUUAUAUUGUAUGCGCAUAUUACUGUUUUUAUGAAUUUCUACCCAAUGUGUUUAUAUUGUGAAUAUGUAUUAUAUGUAGAAUCAUGCAUACAUUUGAAUAUAGAUGGGAUUUCAUGUAAAGCCUGUUUCACAGCUAUCCAGUUCAAACUGAGAUUCAUUUUGAAUGAAUCUUUUAAAUAAAAGAUCAAAAUCAAAUGUGUUCUGUAUUGCUCCGGUUUCUAGAGUUCUGCUGCAGUGUCAUGUGGUCUAGCUGUGGCCCACAGGCUUUACAUGUAUGUUUUGUUUCCUGGACUGAACCAUGUCUAACCUUAUGGACCUGUUGUAAUCUAGGUGCAAUGGCAACUAAAGUGCGGAGACAUGAUUCACGGGUCCAUCCUUACCAAAGGAUAGUGACCACAGACAGAGCCGCCACCGGCAACUAACAAAUGACCUCUGAACUCUGAACUCUUCACCCAAUGAUGAGCCGCCCAAGCCUGCCUGCUGAUCAGAUUAACUGGUAAUUGCCUUUUGCUAGCCUGGUGGACGCAGAGAGAGAGGCACCUGUCCGAGCAGUGAUCCUAACAUAAACCAACAUAAAACACAACAACCCUCCAUACCAACACAUUGUGUAGCGAUAACAACGAUGAUACUCUUUAUUAUUAUUUUUUUUAUUAUUAUUUUUUUUUACUAUUAUUUCUUUCCUUUUCUUUUUAAGUCUCAAAUGACUGGGUGGAUGUUAACAGUGAUGUUGCGUUACCCAAAAAUCUGCACUGAAGUUUAAAAGCAAUAAAGAAGCAUCUUCAGCUAAUUCAGCCCUUAAAUGCAUUUAUACUCCAAUCUCUGAUUUAAAAAAAAAAGAAAAGAAAAAAUACGACUUGGUGACCCUAGUUUUAUUAGUCAUAACUGUAAAUGGGGCAUCCAAAUCUCUAUACGCUACUCCACCCAUUUAAACUGUCACCAUGAAUAAUCAGCAAAAGAAAAAGAAGGAAAGAAAUCUGCACUCACACCAACUUGUGUAUUUCCUGUCCUUCUCUGAUGUAAUCCUGUGUUUUUCAGUUGAUGAGUUUUACUGUGCUGACACAUUCUGGGUGUGCCUGUCCAACUGACUUAGAGCAUGGCUACAAUGACAAACUGCAAAAAGCUUGUUUUGAUUUCUUUUUUUUCUGUUACUUCUCCCUGUUUUGUUUCUUGUGUUUCCAUGUAUCUUAUUAGCGUUUGGCAAUACUUGCAGGUUUAUACAUGCUGCUUAUUGCAGUAUAUGUGCCAGCUCGGUAGGGGGCUGUAGGCAGAGUCAGGCAGGGCAAGAGUUGUUUGGGGUGAAGUGUUUUUGGAGUCUUUAAAUCUAGGAUAUUCAGGGUUGGACAGCUGGGAUAUGAACCGGAAUCAGUUUACUGAACUAUGCCAUCCCAAAAACUCUCAACCCCCUCCCCACAUACAGUGCCUGAACUUUCUAAAAAUAUUUCUUUGAAUGAGCUGUGAGAUAAAAGACAAAAAAAAAAAAAGUAUUAUGUGUGCGCAUUUAGCCAAAGGGUUUCCAUUUAAUGAAUUUCAUAUAUAUCUAACCGCCAAGGGUUCUGUCAUUUUAGUCUAGAGUUUGAAAAGGUUUGAUGUCAUGCCUGUAUCUGUUUGUUAUAAUAGAAUCAAAAGAUGGAUGAAAUGGUGAAGAAUUGUCUUGCAAGACGCUAAUUUCCUUGAGGAAUGAACACUAAGGAAGAUGAAUAAGGUAGACAGAACAGUGGCGGGUUUAACCUCACUUCUGAUUUAUCUAAAAAAAUUGUAAAAAGAAAAACAUUUUUUGUAUUUCUCCCACCUUCAAAAAAUGUAUUCAACUGAGCUGAAAUUAAAUGCAAGUGUUCUUGCGAUCACGAAUUGAAAUUCGCGAGUGGGAAGCCACUGUGAGUAAUUUCGAAUAGUCUCAAAUAGCCCAUCCACAAUGUGUCCUGCACACCCCAGCUACUGAGCCCACUUUCAUUUCUAUACACCCUCUUAAGAAAACAUAGGAUGUGAAAGCCAUGUCUGCCUGUUCGAAUUGCUUUAUACAUACAUGAUAUAUAUAAAAUGUAUACAAAUGUAGAUAUGUCAUUGCAUAUUAAAAUACAGAAAGAUCAAAAUUAGAUACUUUUACAGGGUGCUGGAGAAGAUAUAUAUAUAUUUUUGGCAAUUUUAGCUUUUUAUACUUAACUUGCAGUUACAAAACAUGAAACAUAAUACAAAAAAAUAUAUAUAAAACCAUUAGUAGAAUAGUACAGCGAAAGGUUGUGUGACUUUGGAUACUAUUGGCCAGGAGGGAAAAGAACAGACCCAAAUAGUCCAACCUUUCGGAGGAAUUGCAUGACGUGAGAGGAGAAGAGUACAGUUAGAGAGAUAAGUGCCUUACUGACGGUCGUUUCUUUUCCGCGUGUUACAUUCUGUUCAAUAAUAUCCAGCACCAACGAGGAUAGCGCAGAGUGAGGGAGGGCUUGAGAAGAAGAGUUAAACCACGAGGCUGUUGCAGUGUUGUGCCACUGAAUCUAUUCUAUGCAAAGGAAUAGCAGUCAUUUGACCAGCUAACUAUGUGCCAUGAUUCGUCUUCCCAAAAUUAAGUUGAAGUCUUGUUUGUUUUUUUUGUUUUUUUUCCUUUAAUUCCCAUUUGAACAAAGUGUUUAUUUCUCUUUAUUUUAUUGCAUUGUUAUUCUUCUAUUAUGAGGACAAAAUCUAUGUAUUUGGUUACUGUGAUUUGUCAAGAACAACUGCCAAUCAUUAUGUGGAAGUCUGCCAGGUGUUUUAGACGGGAGAUUUCUCCAUGAAAUGGACUGUUCUUGAAAACCUCCUCUUGUUUCAAGAUUUGCAAACUGGAAGCUUUCGGUCAUAUUUGCCAAAACUUACUUUAUUUUAUGCCAAGGAAGUGUUUUUGCUUUUUAUUUUAGAAGACCUAAGGGUGGUGGGGGGUGUUUCACAAAGGAUAUAUGUAGCUACAGUACAAUGAUCUGAAAAGAGCAAAUAAUGCUUGGAGAGGGAAAACAUUGCAUUUACUCAAAGUAUUACUGAGCGGAAGGUCACUGGGAUAUUCAUCAGUGCCAAACCCGAACAGUCACAGAAGAGCCGCAGUAUCAAGUCACACACUCGAGAUCAGCAGUUUUCAAUCACUGAAACAACCGGAGGUGUUCGUAACAUUGAGUACGGUUACAUUCAGCUUUGUGUCCUGUAACCCUGGCAGUCUCUAAUGUAGUCUUGUUCUUCACUUGUGUUAAACAAAAAGGUCAAUGUCUUUUAUUUCUCUCUUCUCAGUGUUAAAUACAUGUUUUUCAACAUUGAAAUAAUGAAAUGCAAUAUUAGAGAGAAGCUAAGAUGACUGCAGAGAAAUGGACAGUAUUAAAGGAAUUCCCUCUGCCAUGUUACUACAGUACAUGCUGUUAAUGUUUUGGAGUUGGGUUUAGUCUUUCAGGUGUAUGGAGAAAACUCUUGUGUUCUCUUCCGCCUGCCUACUUCAUGUCUAAUAAUGUAAAUUACAGCCAUUGUUACAGGAUUCUAAUGUAUUUUUCUAACUUCAUUUUCUAUGUACAAGUUUUUUUUUUUUCUGAUCUCCUUUUGUGAUGAAACCCACUACACCUUGUUAUUUUUAUUUUUUUCCUCCAUGUCUUCUCUUCUCCUCUGCCCUCCCUCUCAGCCCACUCUUUUCUCAAAUCUGUCUCUCAUUGGGAGCGUUGCCUUUUCCUACAGUUAUUUUAUUUUCUUGCUGAUUCUUUAGCUUGUUUAACUCAUUAGCGACUUAUUAGUUCCUCUUGUCAUAGGUAUUUUUACAUGCUUGCAUUUAGUUUUUAUGGUGUAUGCUGUUAUUUUUUUCUUAUUAACCUCCUUGGCAUUUAUUUUAAUAAACAUUCUUAGUAAGAAUUUUA
Carassius gibelio (silver crucian carp) is the source of this 5864-nucleotide long non-coding RNA. RefSeq lists it as uncharacterized. The record is from RefSeq and is a predicted model, not a curated record. The transcript has 2 exons. Lineage: Eukaryota; Metazoa; Chordata; Actinopteri; Cypriniformes; Cyprinidae.